GUGGGUAGUUUGACUGGGGCGGUCUCCUCCUAAAGAGUAACGGAGGAGCACGAAGGUUGGCUAAUCCUGGUCGGACAUCAGGAGGUUAGUGCAAUGGCAUAAGCCAGCUUGACUGCGAGCGUGACGGCGCGAGCAGGUGCGAAAGCAGGUCAUAGUGAUCCGGUGGUUCUGAAUGGAAGGGCCAUCGCUCAACGGAUAAAAGGUACUCCGGGGAUAACAGGCUGAUACCGCCCAAGAGUUCAUAUCGACGGCGGUGUUUGGCACCUCGAUGUCGGCUCAUCACAUCCUGGGGCUGAAGUAGGUCCCAAGGGUAUGGCUGUUCGCCAUUUAAAGUGGUACGCGAGCUGGGUUUAGAACGUCGUGAGACAGUUCGGUCCCUAUCUGCCGUGGGCGCUGGAGAACUGAGGGGGGCUGCUCCUAGUACGAGAGGACCGGAGUGGACGCAUCACUGGUGUUCGGGUUGUCAUGCCAAUGGCACUGCCCGGUAGCUAAAUGCGGAAGAGAUAAGUGCUGAAAGCAUCUAAGCACGAAACUUGCCCCGAGAUGAGUUCUCCCUGAGACUUAAAGUCUCCUGAAGGAACGUUGAAGACGACGACGUUGAUAGGCCGGGUGUGUAAGCGCAGCGAUGCGUUGAGCUAACCGGUACUAAUGAACCGUGAGGC
RNAcentral lists this ribosomal RNA (662 nucleotides) under Salmonella enterica subsp. enterica serovar Saintpaul. RNAcentral's name for it is "partial 23S ribosomal RNA". It matches the Rfam family "Bacterial large subunit ribosomal RNA", at positions 2261 to 2917 of the family's 2925-position model. Lineage: Bacteria; Pseudomonadati; Pseudomonadota; Gammaproteobacteria; Enterobacterales; Enterobacteriaceae. The record is from RNAcentral.